Molecule: transfer RNA, 97 nt
Filed under: Methylobacterium gregans
Lineage: Bacteria; Pseudomonadati; Pseudomonadota; Alphaproteobacteria; Hyphomicrobiales; Methylobacteriaceae
Description: tRNA-Gln
Source: RNAcentral
GUCCGCCAGGGCGACCGGGUUCUGCGCUCGGCCUCCCUGGAGGGCCGCGAUCUCGUCCUGGCGGAGCGGGAGCCCGGUCCAGGCCGGGACGGGCGCC